Molecule: non-coding RNA, 2198 nt
Organism: Doryrhamphus excisus (bluestripe pipefish)
Lineage: Eukaryota; Metazoa; Chordata; Actinopteri; Syngnathiformes; Syngnathidae
Source: RefSeq, a predicted model, not a curated record
GGGUGGAGUUAUGAUAGGUCUAUGGUACAGUUUCCGGCAACACAACAACAGCCCGAAGGUAUCAAAACACGGCAAGUUAUAUGGACGAGAACACAUCGGUGGCGGCCCGUGGCCUGACAAUGUAGGCGCUGCACAUUGGAAGAUACUUCAAAAGGGGAGCUUCUCAAGCAAUACCAAGUCAAGCACAGUAUUUAUGGAUGUGGCUGAGCUGAACCAAAACCAACUAAUCACCAAUUAAAGAAGAGAGACAGCCCAGUCAUUAAGGACUUGAUGUGGAGAACUUUUGCACAUAGAGGAACAUACAACAUACAAAUCAGGGCUCGACAAUAACGAUGUACCGAUGGCCCGGGGCAAGUUAAAACAAAAUUCGGGCAAGUAAAUCUAAUCAGUGAUAUUCCCGUCGGGCAAGUGCACUACUGCCAAGAGGUAUUUUUUAAAGCGGUUCUUGUUGGGUGUUGGUAAAACACGGAAUGCGUAAUUCCGGUGGUAAUUUGCAAAGCAAUCCUUGCAAUGGACCAAUCAGAAUCGUUUAUUUAGACCGCGGUCCGUAAUCCACAGUCCGCGUUUUACCCACACCCGUUGUUCGCGAUCAACCAAUCAGCGAUCGUUUGACUAUGAAAACAUCCAUCAUGGCGUCGCUGCCAACAUCGUCUAAUUCUGAAGGAAACGAAAAAAGUGAUGAAGCAGUGCCUCCUAAACAAGUAUUUUAUUAGCGGCAGCAAAUCAAAUGAUGGCACAGGUGAGUGAAUCACAUUGCUGUGACAAUUUGAAGUGGUCACAAUGAAACACCACCCAUUAGAUCCAAUACCAAGUGCUGAUUUUGCACAAGCUACAAAAUCUAGCGCUUCCAUUUCUCUGUGGAUUUUUCUCACCUUUGCUUCACAAAUUAUUGUUUGACCAUUGAGCAUUUUUUUUCUGGAUUAAAAACACUUUACUAGUACACAAAUGUGUCUAUUCAAUAAUGUUUCAUUGUGGUGCACAACUUAUAAAUAUCACUGCUUACUACGACUACCAUGUGUAAGGUAUUAUUUAUUAUAUUAUUGUAUUUAUUUGAGAUUCUCAUGUGAUGCCACAAAAAAAUACAUGAUAUCAUUAUGGCAGUCUUUUCAUUUUACAUGGGGCAAGUUCGGGCAAGUAGUUCUCACCUUAAGGAUUCCCUAUGGGCAAGUCAUUUUGGUUUUUAAUGUAGAGCCCUGCAAAUGAGCAUCAGUGACAUGAAGCACAGGUGGCCUACCUUGUUUAAUGUCUCACAGGUGAGUAUUUGGAUCUUUUGUGUUAAACACAUUAUGGACUGUAAACAACUACUGUAUGUUUCACAGUUAUACUUAAGUAUGCACUUCACUUUUUGUUGUCACUGGUUCUUUUGUCUCUUCUUUCAUAUCUCUCUUUCAGGAGAGGAAGGUGCCAGAAGGGAGGUGAAAGGACACCAAAACUGAUGUCCUUGUUUCCAGCAAGGAAAAGCGUUGUCAGAGCAACAAUUCAAGCACAGACCAACAUUCUACUUCAGAUUGAAUCCAACGUGGGCAGACAAGGGACGUUGUCAUCCGAUGCCUUAUUGACUAUCUUGCAGGACAUGCCAGUGCCCUAUUCCAGGACUUUGAGGGUGCCGGGGAUGGAUCAACCAGCAUUCAAGAAAAGAUGGCAUAGUGAUUGAGAGCAGCACCGUCCACAGCACUCUUGGGGAUCUUAGCAAGGCCUGCUACUAUCUGAUGGGACUGACGUAUGCACGAGACCUGCGGUUCCCCAAGACCCUGUCAUCCAGUUUUAUGGUGUUCCAGAAAGUACUGCUGGAUCUGGAUUUAUGGAAACCUUUCAAAGACUUUGCCAACGAAAUGUUGUUGCCUGGCUCCCUUAAAGUGCAUGGUUGUCUAUAUGUGCCCUGUGAUGACACCCGUGACUGUGCGACACAAACGGACGACGAAAAAAACCCGGAAGACAGGAUAAACGUCCAGAAAAACCACGUCCGGAAAAAAGACAAAAAAACAAAUAAACAUCCCCCCUUCCACAAACAUGUUAGGUUAAUUGGCGACUCCAAAUUGUCCAUAGGUAUGAAUGUGAGUGUGAACGGUUUUUGUCUGUAUUAUUAUUAAUAAAUUGUUGUUAUGGUGCGUGCUUUGGAUUGUUGAAUUUUUGUAUGUUACGUAAUUAAACAUGUUUUGUUUUGUUCGUACGCGACUUUGUUUAAAUCUUUUUAGCUU